Molecule: ribosomal RNA, 319 nt
Filed under: uncultured Pseudomonadota bacterium
Lineage: Bacteria; Pseudomonadati; Pseudomonadota
Description: bacterial SSU rRNA
Rfam family: Bacterial small subunit ribosomal RNA
Source: RNAcentral
AACGAACGUUAGCGGCGCGCUUAACACAUGCAAGUCGAACGAGAAAGCCCCUUCGGGGGUGAGUAAAGUGGCGCACGGGUGAGUAUCACGUGGGUCAUCUACCCUUUGGCGGGGGACAACAUUCCGAAAGGAGUGCUAAUACCGCAUAAGUCCACGCAAGUGGGGAAAGGCGGCGAAAGCUGUCACCAAAGGAUGAGCCCGCGGCCCAUCAGCUAGUUGGUAGGGUAAUGGCCUACCAAGGCUAAGACGGGUAGCUGGUCUGAGAGGAUGAUCAGCCACACUGGAACUGAGACACGGUCCAGACUCCUACGGGAGGCAG